ACAAGUACCAAUAUCGUGUCCCGUGGGCAAACGGCAAAGUGACUCGCGCUCUAUAGGCAGACUACUGCUUCAUUUAUUUUGCCCUAAUCCUUUUCUUUCCUCCGUAGAACUGAAAAACCCCGAAACUCGCAAGAGGAAAAAAAAACCCUCUGCAGCUUUUCUCAAAACGAUUCAAAGAAGCCUCUCGAAACUCUUCGUCGACCCCGCGCCGUCCAUUAGACAGUUUUUUAAAUUAUGGGCGAAAGUGAAACUGUGGUAGCUCAAACCUCGUCAGUCACUGAUUAUAUAUCUGCUGGUUAUUCGUCAAUAAAUCCUGAUGAUGCUGGUGCCCACCUUUCUUCUGAUGCUGGAAACGCCGGGGAUCUGGCCACUGCCUGUCCAAAUGGGGCUGGGGAGUUAGCAUCUACUAAUAUAGAAGCUGGAAACCCUUAUACUACUGAUCAAGUUUCUACCCAGCAAGAAGGUGCAACUGCUAUGUCAUAUGACCCCAGCCAGGAUCUUGCAGCUCUAGCAGAUGCACCCGUAGGUUCAUCCCAAGUUACUGACUGUGAAUCUUCUGCAAAUGGCAACAACACUGCUGAAGAAAGAGACAUUGCAGCUGUUGGAAUUGCUGAAAAUGGGAUUGCAUCAGAUGUUCAUGGAAGUUCCAAUAUGCAUCAGCCAGAGGAUGGCCUAGUUUUAUCUCCUGAAGAGGAAAGAUUAUGGAGCAUAGUAAGGACGAAUUCUUUAGACUUCAGUGCCUGGACUGCCCUUAUUGAGGAAACAGAGAAGAUGUCGGAGGGGAACAUUUUGAAGAUUCGGAAGGUUUAUGAUGCAUUCUUGGCGGAAUUUCCUCUGUGUUAUGGUUAUUGGAAGAAAUAUGCAGAUCAUGAGGCCCGUCUUGGCUCUGUUGACAAAGUUGUGGAGGUCUAUGAACGGGCUGUUCAAGGUGUGACAUAUUCGGUAGAUAUGUGGUUGCACUAUUGUGUUUUUGCUAUAAGCACUUAUGGAGAUCCUGGCACCAUUAGAAGGUUAUUUGAAAGAGGAUUAGUGUAUGUUGGAACAGACUACCUGUCCUUUCCACUUUGGGAUAAGUACCUGGAAUAUGAGUACACGCAGCAGGCUUGGUCGAAUGUUGCUGCCAUCUACACACAGAUAUUGCAGAAUCCAAAUCAGCAGCUCGAUCGCUAUUUUGAAGGAUUCAAGGAACUGGUGGCUAGUAGGCCUCUAUCAGAGUUACGAACUUCUGAAGAAGCUGCAGCUGCAACAGACGCUGGGGGUGAACAGGUUGAGGGAGAGGUUAAUCCUGGUUCUGAGUCUUCUAAACUUGUAAGUGCAAGCUUAAAAGAUGCGGAGGAGUUGGAGAUGUAUAUUGCCAUUAGAGAAGAGAUGUAUAAGAAAGCUAAAGAGUUCGAUUCUAAGAUCGUUGGUUUCGAAACAGCUAUAAGGAGGCCAUAUUUUCAUGUGCGGCCUUUGAAUGUUGCAGAGCUUGAAAAUUGGCACAAUUAUCUUGACUUCAUAGAAGGAGGGGAUGACUUCAAUAAGGUGGUCAAGUUGUAUGAGAGAUGCCUGAUUGCAUGUGCCAAUUAUCCUGAAUAUUGGAUUCGGUAUGUUUCUUGUAUGGAAACAAGUGGAAGUUUGGAUCUUGCCGAUAAUGCCCUUGCUCGUGCCACUCAAGUGUUUGUCAAGAGGCAACCAGCGAUCCACCUUUUUGCUGCUCGAUUGCGGGAGCAACGUGGUGAUAUUCCUGGUGCUCGAGCUGCAUAUCAACUUGUGCAUGCUGAAAUAUCACCUGGGCUUGUAGAAGCAAUAGUCAAGCAUGCAAACAUGGAGCGUCGACUUGGGAAUCUUGAGGAUGCCUGUUCCAUAUACGAACAAGCUAUUGCCAUCGAAAAAGGGAAGGAACACUCACAGAGUCUGCCGUUGUUGUUUGCACAGUACUCUCGGUUUAUGUACUUGGUUUCUGGGAAGGUGGAAAAAACUAGGGAAAUUCUUGAUCAAGCAGUUGAGAAUGUCCAGCUGUCAAAACCACUUCUGGAGGCACUAAUCCAUUUAGAAUCCAUUCAGUCACUCCCAAAGAGAGUAGAUUUGUUGGAUUCAUUGGUUGAUAAGUUCUUAGUUCCAUCUCUUGAGAACCCUAACGUUUCAAGUGUUGAUGAAAGAGAGGAGUUAUCAAGCAUUUUCUUGGAGUUUCUAGAUCUUUUUGGUGAUACACCUUCAAUUAAGAAGGCUGAUGAUCGGCAUGCAAAACUCUUCUUACGCCAUAGAACUUCUUCAGAUUCAAAGAAACGUCAGGCUGAAGAUUAUAUAGUUUCCGAGAAAACAAAGCUGGCAAAGUCUGCUGUUGCAGCAACCAACCCCUCAGUGGUUGGUGCAUAUCCUGGAGCACAGAAUCAGUGGCCUGCAGGUUAUGGUGUACAAGGUCAAACCUGGCCACAGGCUACACAAGCCCAAUCACAGCAGUGGAAUCCUGGUUACGCACAACAGGCAGCAUAUGGUGCUUACGGGAGUUAUGGUACUGGCUAUCCACCUCCGCAAGCGCCUGCAGCAUCGGUGCCCUCCAGUGCUGGUUAUGGUGCUUAUCCUUCAACAUACGCAGCCCAGAAUUACAAAGUGUCUUGGUAAGUAGAUUUGGGAGCAGUAGGAGCUUCUCAAAUUUCAUGUUGCAUUGGCCAUUGGGGGAAGUUCAGUCCAGUGGACAAUUGUAGCAAAGUUUGAAAUUCAAUGAAACACUUCUGUUAGGCCUUCCCUCAGCAGAAUUAUGCACCUCCAGCUGCUGUUGCCACUGCAGCUUCGACUCCAGCACCACAGGCUACAACUGUUCCUCCGACAGCUUAUUACGGCAGUUACUAUUGAAAUGCCAAAAAUUUCUGCGUCAAUUUCUUUUUUGCUGGAUAUAGUUUGUAUCUUCCCCUCAACGGCUAGAAUAUGUUGCAAUACCAUGAGUUCUUCAACAUGGUUGUAAUUCGAGUUAAUGAGCUGUCGGAUAGGAAAUUGAGCAAUCUAGUGAUGGCUUACCUUAGGCUGAUGGGCAGCGGUUUCGAUCCAUUGCUUAUCCUCUGUUGGCUUUUUUUCUAAUUAAUGUACCAUACUUUUGGUUUUAAAGUGGUAGUAUGCAGGAAAAAUCUGUUGCAAGAUUUUA
RNA transcript from Capsicum annuum, 3121 nucleotides. It is a transcript of the gene named pre-mRNA-processing factor 39-2, with no coding region annotated. Lineage: Eukaryota; Viridiplantae; Streptophyta; Magnoliopsida; Solanales; Solanaceae. The record is from RefSeq and is a predicted model, not a curated record. The transcript has 15 exons.